UGGCUCAGUUGGUAGAGCAUGGUGUGUGCUAAUGCCAGGGUUGUGGGUUCGAUUCCCAC
RNAcentral lists this transfer RNA (59 nucleotides) under Salmo salar (Atlantic salmon). It matches the Rfam family "tRNA", at positions 8 to 63 of the family's 71-position model. Rfam says of the family: Transfer RNA (tRNA) molecules are approximately 80 nucleotides in length. Their secondary structure includes four short double-helical elements and three loops (D, anti-codon, and T loops). The record is from Rfam by way of RNAcentral. Lineage: Eukaryota; Metazoa; Chordata; Actinopteri; Salmoniformes; Salmonidae.